RNAcentral lists this ribosomal RNA (410 nucleotides) under uncultured bacterium. RNAcentral's name for it is "bacterial SSU rRNA". It matches the Rfam family "Bacterial small subunit ribosomal RNA", at positions 370 to 772 of the family's 1533-position model. The record is from RNAcentral.
AAUGGGGGCAACCCUGACCGAGCAACGCCGCGUGAGUGAAGAAGGUUUUCGGAUCGUAAAGCUCUGUUGUAAGUCAAGAACGAGUGUGAGAGUGGAAAGUUCACACUGUGACGGUAGCUUACCAGAAAGGGACGGCUAACUACGUGCCAGCAGCCGCGGUAAUACGUAGGUCCCGAGCGUUGUCCGGAUUUAUUGGGCGUAAAGCGAGCGCAGGCGGUUUGAUAAGUCUGAAGUUAAAGGCUGUGGCUCAACCAUAGUUCGCUUUGGAAACUGUCAAACUUGAGUGCAGAAGGGGAGAGUGGAAUUCCAUGUGUAGCGGUGAAAUGCGUAGAUAUAUGGAGGAACACCGGUGGCGAAAGCGGCUCUCUGGUCUGUAACUGACGCUGAGGCUCGAAAGCGUGGGGAGCGAA